Molecule: ribosomal RNA, 253 nt
Filed under: uncultured bacterium
Lineage: Bacteria
Description: partial 16S ribosomal RNA
Rfam family: Bacterial small subunit ribosomal RNA
Source: RNAcentral
UACAGUGGUCUCAACCGUUGCUCGGAAUCAUUGGGCGUAAAGCGCACGUAGGCGGUUCGUUAUGUCGGAUGUGAAAGCCCUUGGCUUAACCGAGGAAGUGCAUCCGAAACUGGCGAGCUAGAGUACGAAAGAGGAUCGCGGAAUUCCCGGUGUAGAGGUGAAAUUCGUAGAUAUCGGGAGGAACACCAAUUGCGAAGGCAGCUCGCUGGGACGUUACUGACGCUGAGACGCGAAAGCGUGGGGAGCAAACAGG